Hydra vulgaris (swiftwater hydra) is the source of this 335-nucleotide non-coding RNA. The record is from RefSeq and is a predicted model, not a curated record. Lineage: Eukaryota; Metazoa; Cnidaria; Hydrozoa; Anthoathecata; Hydridae.
GAACACUUUUCUCAAAAGGGUUAUCGUUGCAAUUAAACUUUGCCGAUAAGGGGUGGAAAAGUUGGAAUCGGCAACAUGAAAAUAACUUCUCUUAUUGUCAGUGUUGUUAAGAAGAACAAGUUAUUGAGUGACGUCACUACUUCAAGUGUUGAACAACUUGUCAAGAUUUGGCUUAGGCAGUCCUGCGACCGCGAAGGAGGCAGAAAUGAUCCAGAACGAGGGAGUAAACGAUCACUCCAAAAAAAUUUAAUUCGAGACAAUCAAUUGUUAUAACUUAUAGUAAAAAUUAUAUAGUUUAACGGUUUAUUCUGAUGAAAUAUUUAAGCAUACGUUAA